UUUUAUUUUUAUUUCAUGGCGUAAAUUAAUAAGGACGCUAGAAUUGAACUGAAAACAUUUCGGGAAUCGCAAUAGAAAUUCAGAAAGAAUCGGAAUAUAAAAGGAAAAGUCUAUUUUAGCUUUAGGACGUUGUUUUGUUGUAACCGCUAAUUUAUUCCCCCAUACUAAUGAAUUUUAGUCGUCUUUUGAAGGGACUUUGGUGUUUAACAAUUAAUUAGAGUGAGUAAAGAGAAUAAAUGGACUAAAAAUCGCUCAUAUGUAUAUAGUUGCAUAUCUUUAACUGGGAAUUAAAUGUGCAAAAGAUAGUAUAAUUUUACUUAUUUAACUGUUAAUUAAAAUGCUAAUAAAUAUUUAACAAAA
This is a long non-coding RNA of Ceratitis capitata (Mediterranean fruit fly), 360 nucleotides long. RefSeq lists it as uncharacterized. The record is from RefSeq and is a predicted model, not a curated record. The transcript is spliced from 2 exons. Lineage: Eukaryota; Metazoa; Arthropoda; Insecta; Diptera; Tephritidae.